AAGAAAAGAGGAAGGUAGGAUGCUGAGUUCGGAUUGAAGAAGAGAGGGGUUUGUAAUUUAUUUAAAGCGUAAGCUAUUUAUGAAUAAAAAUUGAUUAAGAAAAUUAUGUUUGGAAAUAAUAUGCUUGACACAAGUAGAGGUCGUAGAAUGUUUAAUGUAUUAUAAGCAAUUCAAAAAAUAUAGUAUAUUUAGAAUAAAAAUUUAUUAAGAAAAAUAAUGUUUCGCAAUAAUAUGUUAGGCAUAAAUAAAAGGCCGUAGUAU
RNAcentral lists this long non-coding RNA (261 nucleotides) under Ananas comosus (pineapple). Its description in RNAcentral is "long non-coding RNA (ACOM_LNC040193)". Lineage: Eukaryota; Viridiplantae; Streptophyta; Magnoliopsida; Poales; Bromeliaceae. The record is from RNAcentral.